UUUUUGAUCUGCUCAGGACGAACGCUGGCGGCGUGCCUAAUACAUGCAAGUCGAACGCUUCUUUCCUCCCGAGUGCUUGCACUCAAUUGGAAAGAGGAGUGGCGGACGGGUGAGUAACACGUGGGUAACCUACCCAUCAGAGGGGGAUAACACUUGGAAACAGGUGCUAAUACCGCAUAACAGUUUAUGCCGCAUGGCAUAAGAGUGAAAGGCGCUUUCGGGUGUCGCUGAUGGAUGGACCCGCGGUGCAUUAGCUAGUUGGUGAGGUAACGGCUCACCAAGGCCACGAUGCAUAGCCGACCUGAGAGGGUGAUCGGCCACACUGGGACUGAGACACGGCCCAGACUCCUACGGGAGGCAGCAGUAGGGAAUCUUCGGCAAUGGACGAAAGUCUGACCGAGCAACGCCGCGUGAGUGAAGAAGGUUUUCGGAUCGUAAAACUCUGUUGUUAGAGAAGAACAAGGACGUUAGUAACUGAACGUCCCCUGACGGUAUCUAACCAGAAAGCCACGGCUAACUACGUGCCAGCAGCCGCGGUAAUACGUAGGUGGCAAGCGUUGUCCGGAUUUAUUGGGCGUAAAGCGAGCGCAGGCGGUUUCUUAAGUCUGAUGUGAAAGCCCCCGGCUCAACCGGGGAGGGUCAUUGGAAACUGGGAGACUUGAGUGCAGAAGAGGAGAGUGGAAUUCCAUGUGUAGCGGUGAAAUGCGUAGAUAUAUGGAGGAACACCAGUGGCGAAGGCGGCUCUCUGGUCUGUAACUGACGCUGAGGCUCGAAAG
Molecule: ribosomal RNA, 776 nt
Filed under: Enterococcus faecalis
Lineage: Bacteria; Bacillati; Bacillota; Bacilli; Lactobacillales; Enterococcaceae
Description: bacterial SSU rRNA
Rfam family: Bacterial small subunit ribosomal RNA
Source: RNAcentral